RNAcentral lists this long non-coding RNA (567 nucleotides) under Numida meleagris (helmeted guineafowl). RNAcentral's name for it is "lncRNA (ENSNMEG00000002321.1)". The record is from RNAcentral. Lineage: Eukaryota; Metazoa; Chordata; Aves; Galliformes; Numididae.
UGACCCCAAAAGGGACCCAGGUCCUAAAGGUGACCCCAAAAAGGGAUCCAGGUCCUAAAGGUGACCCCAAAAGGGACGCAGGUCUUAAAGGUGACCCCAAAAGGGACCCAGGUGACCCUAAAAGGGAUCCAGGUCCUAAAGGUGACCCUAUAAUGACCCUAAAUGACCCCAAAAUGGUCCGAAAUGACCCCAAAAGGGCCCUAGGUGACCCUAAAAGGGAUCCAGGUCUUAAACAUGACCCCAAAAGGGAUCCAGGUCCUAAAAGUGACCCCAAAAGGGAUCCAGGUCCUAAAGGUGACCCCAAAAAGGGACCCAGGUGACCCUAAAAGGGAUCCAGGUCCUAAAUGUGACGCUAUAAUGGCCCUAUAUGAUCCCAAAAGAGUCCUAAAUGACCCCAAAAGGGAUCCAGGUCCUAAAGGUGACCCUAAAACGGCCCUAAAUGACCCCAAAUGGGAUCCAGGUCCUAAAGGUGACCCCAAAAAGGCCCUAAAUGACCCCGACCCCCCCCCAAAAUGUUUUAGGGUCGCACCGAGGACGCGGAUCUCGACGGGGCCGCAGCCGUUGAGC